GUCUAGCCCAGAUUGAAGCAUUUGUUUGAGCUCUUUUUGCUUUUUGGAGCAAAAAAGCGAGUGCUGAAAGCUGAAAAUAGC
Molecule: unclassified non-coding RNA, 81 nt
Filed under: Polaribacter sp. KT25b
Lineage: Bacteria; Pseudomonadati; Bacteroidota; Flavobacteriia; Flavobacteriales; Flavobacteriaceae
Description: Flavo-1 RNA
Source: RNAcentral